GACGAACGCUGGCGGCGUGCUUAAUACAUGCAAGUCAACUUGACUUUAGAUAGCAAUAUCGAAAAGUAGGGUGGCGCACGGGUGCGUAACGCGUAGGUAAUCUGCCCUGAGGUCUGACAUAACCCGUCGAAAGGCGGGCUAACAUCAGAUGAUAUAUAAUCACGACAUCGUGGAAAUAUCAAAUCUUCGGAGCCUUGGGAUGAGCCUGCGUCUGAUUAGGUAGUUGGCGGAGUAAUAGCCCACCAAGCCUACGAUCAGUAGCUGGUCUGAGAGGAUGAUCAGCCACACUGGAACUGAGACACGGUCCAGACUCCUACGGGAGGCAGCAGUAAGGAAUAUUGCUCAAUGGGGGAAACCCUGAAGCAGCAACGCCGCGUGAAGGAUGAAAUACUUUUGUAUGUAAACUUCUGUAAGAUGGGAAAAUAUUCUCCUCGGA
RNAcentral lists this ribosomal RNA (436 nucleotides) under uncultured bacterium. RNAcentral's name for it is "bacterial SSU rRNA". It matches the Rfam family "Bacterial small subunit ribosomal RNA", at positions 28 to 461 of the family's 1533-position model. The record is from RNAcentral.